Molecule: unclassified non-coding RNA, 363 nt
Filed under: uncultured bacterium
Lineage: Bacteria
Description: contains 16S-23S intergenic spacer region
Source: RNAcentral
UCCCCGUUACCGGGGCAGUCUAGCUAGAGAAAUUCAACUAGCUAUAAGGGUUGCGCUCGUUAAUGGACUUAACCAAACAUCUCACGACACGAGCUGACGACGGCCAUGCAACACCUGUCACCGGGUUCCCGAAGGCACAGUCUCCUUUCAGAGACCUUCCCGGGAUGUCAAACCCUGGUAAGGUUCUUCGCUUACCAUCGAAUUAAAGAACACGCUCCACCGCUUGUGCGGGUCCCCGUCAAUUCCUUUAUGUUUUAAGCUUGCGCUCGUACUCCACAGGCGGGAUGCUUAACGCGUUAGCUUCGCUACUACUCGGGUCGAUACGAAUAACAGCUAGCAUCCAUAGUUUACGGCGUGGACUAC